This is a non-coding RNA of Salmo salar (Atlantic salmon), 1099 nucleotides long. NCBI's taxonomy places the organism in Eukaryota, Metazoa, Chordata, Actinopteri, Salmoniformes, Salmonidae. The record is from RefSeq and is a predicted model, not a curated record.
UUCAAACGAUCAUCUUUAUUUAAUAAGAAUUGCAAUAAUGAAGCUGGUCGACCCCACACUCUUGAGUGUAAGGCCGAGAGCUCAACGAUACAGAAAAAACAGAGGUCCUAUAUAGCAGACCUAAAAAUGCUUAGUCAUGGCUGGUUCCACCCCUCCCAUGCAGAUCGGGCCAUCAUAAGCUACCUUGGGUUCAUCUUGUGGUUAUGUUCACCGGUGUUGUUUCCCCGUACCUUGGGUUAGUUUCUCAGAAGCAAAGAUCAUUAGAAACAAAUAGGGGUUUGUUCUAUUUCUCAGGCUCUCUCUAUCUCGGCUCACACCAUGUCCUUGACUAUAUCCACAGACCAGCUGCAGGGAGCUAGAGGGGAACCAUCCCUUUACAGAAGCACAGCAUUUGUAGUUAUGAAAAUCUCUUACUAUUGUUAAGCAUAUAAUUCAACGAUCAAUAUUCAACAAAGCAGGUAAAUACAUAAUAUUUCCCUUACAGUUUCCACACAUCUAAGUUCCUGUAGAUUGUUAAAACAGGAUGUCACAUACUACAGUCGAAACCAAAAGGCUCUUAUCUGUAUGCCCAGACCCAUGACUAAGUCACACAAGACAAGCCUAUACUAAAAUAUAACAAUGGAUAAUUCUCCAAGUAAAAACAGCAUAGUAUGUUCAAUUAAACAACAUAGUAGGUAAUUCAAUAAUUUCCUCCAUAAUGGUUACAUAAAACAGGUUACUUAAGGCAAAAACAAAAGUAGGGUGGUUGGUCGGGGUGGAUGAGUGGACGUAUAACACAAAUGUCUAGCAACCCCAAGGUUGUGUGUUUGAAUCUCAUCACGGAACACUUUAGCAACUUUUAGCUAAUUAGCAACAUUGUAACUACUUUUUAGUUACGUUGCAACUACUUAUCAAGUUAGCUAACCCUUCCCCUAAUCCUUUUAGCUAACCCUUCCACUAACCUUAACCCCUAGAGCUAGUUAGCAUUAGCCACCUAGCUGUUAGCAACAACAAAUUGUAAUUUGUGACAUAUGAUACGCUUAACAAAUUCGCAACAUAUCGUGUGAAUUGUUAUUCAUAACAUAUCAUUAAAAAUGGAUAAUGGACAUCCACAAAUUAA